AACGAACGCUGGCGGCAUGCCUAAUACAUGCAAGUCGAACGAGAUCUUCGGAUCUAGUGGCGCACGGGUGCGUAACGCGUGGGAAUCUGCCCUUGGGUUCGGAAUAACUUCUGGAAACGGAAGCUAAUACCGGAUGAUGACGUAAGUCCAAAGAUUUAUCGCCCAAGGAUGAGCCCGCGUAGGAUUAGGUAGUUGGUGAGGUAAAGGCUCACCAAGCCGACGAUCCUUAGCUGGUCUGAGAGGAUGAUCAGCCACACUGGGACUGAGACACGGCCCAGACUCCUACGGGAGGCAGCAGUAGGGAAUAUUGGACAAUGGGCGAAAGCCUGAUCCAGCAAUGCCGCGUGAGCGAUGAAGGCCUUAGGGUUGUAAAGCUCUUUUACCCGGGAUGAUAAUGAGAGUACCGGGAGAAUAAGCUCCGGCUAACUCCGUG
This 433-nucleotide ribosomal RNA is filed under the name uncultured bacterium. RNAcentral's name for it is "partial 16S ribosomal RNA". It matches the Rfam family "Bacterial small subunit ribosomal RNA", at positions 29 to 507 of the family's 1533-position model. The record is from RNAcentral.